CUACGGGACGCUGCAGUGGGGAAUUUUGCGCAAUGGGGGAAACCCUGACGCAGCAAUACCGCGUGAGUGAAGAAGGCCUUUGGGUCGUAAAGCUCUUUUCUUGGGGAAGAUAGUGACGGUACCCAAGGAAUAAGCACCGGCUAACUCCGUGCCAGCAGCCGCGGUAAUACGGAGGGUGCAAGCGUUGUUCGGAUUUACUGGGCGUAAAGGGCACGUAGGCGGCACAGCAAGUUAAGGGUGAAAUCCCGGGGCUCAACUCCGGAACUGCUCUUAAAACUGCUGAGCUAGAGAUAGUCAGAGGCGGGUGGAAUUCCAGGUGUAGAGGUGAAAUUCGUAGAUAUCUGGAGGAACACCGGUGGCGAAGGCGGCCCGCCGGGGCUAUUCUGACACUAAGGUGCGAAAGCGUGGGGAGCAAACGGGAUUAGAUACCCCCGUAGUC
This 439-nucleotide ribosomal RNA is filed under the name uncultured bacterium. RNAcentral's name for it is "partial 16S ribosomal RNA". It matches the Rfam family "Bacterial small subunit ribosomal RNA", at positions 339 to 795 of the family's 1533-position model. The record is from RNAcentral.